CUUUGACCUCAGAUACUCAGAGAAGUGCAUGGCCACUGCCGUAAUCUCAGGCUCUGCUUCCUCAGGAUGUUCAGUUCGGUGGAUGCUCGACUGAUAAAUACAGCAAAUAUAAGUCAAACCAUCAUCAUUGGGGAUAAUGAAGAUUUGAAAAAAAAACAACCUAACAUUUAUUCCUAUAAUACUAAAAUCUUGAGGAUGAACAUUAAUACUCAGUUAAUUAUAAUAUAGAAUGCCAUGUUGACAUAAUGCUGUUAACAGUAAUUUUCUUAUUUAAUAUUUAAAGUUAUAUGAAUCUAUUCUAAAUAUUUCUAUGAUAUGCUCUAUUUUUCCCCUAUAAGUAUGUCUUACUAUAUUCUUCAUCUCUUUUAGUGGAAAAAGAUGGAAACCAUCAUACAAGAGAAACUCACUUCAAUAAUUUGUAUAGCAUGGUACAUUACUGUGAAAAUAUAACGGAAUGCAGGAGAAUACAGCUUUUGGCCUACUUUGGUGAAAAUGGAUUUAAUCCUGAUUUUUGUAAGAAACACCCAGAUGUUUCUUGUGAUAAUUGCUGUAAAACAAAGGAUUAUAAAACAAGAGAUGUGACUGAUGAUGUGAAAAGUAUUGUAAGAUUUGUUCAAGAACAUAGUUCAUCACAAGGAAUGAGAAAUAUAAAACAUGUAGGUCCUUCUGGAAGAUUUACUAUGAAUAUGCUGGUCGACAUUUUCUUGGGGAGUAAGAGUGCAAAAAUCCAGUCAGGUAUAUUUGGAAAAGGAUCUGCUUAUUCACGACACAAUGCCGAAAGACUUUUUAAAAAGCUGAUACUUGACAAGAUUUUGGAUGAAGACUUAUAUAUCAAUGCCAAUGACCAGGCGAUCGCUUAUGUGAUGCUCGGAAAUAAAGCCCAAACUGUACUAAAUGGCAAUUUAAAGGUAGACUUUAUGGAAACAGAAAAUUCCAGCAGUGUGAAAAAACAAAAAGCGUUAGUAGCAAAAGUGUCUCAGAGGGAAGAGAUGGUUAAAAAAUGUCUUGGAGAACUUACAGAAGUCUGCAAAUCUCUGGGGAAAGUUUUUGGUGUCCAUUACUUCAAUAUUUUUAAUACCGUCACUCUCAAGAAGCUUGCAGAAUCUUUAUCUUCUGAUCCUGAGGUUUUGCUUCAAAUUGAUGGUGUUACUGAAGACAAACUGGAAAAAUAUGGUGCGGAAGUGAUUUCAGUAUUACAGAAAUACUCCGAAUGGACAUCGCCAGCUGAAGACAGUUCCCCAGGGAUAAGCCUGUCCAGCAGCAGAGGCCCCGGAAGAAGUGCCGCUGAGGAGCUCGACGAGGAAAUACCCGUAUCUUCCCACUACUUUGCAAGUAAAACCAGAAAUGAAAGGAAGAGGAAAAAGAUGCCAGCCUCCCAAAGGUCUAAGAGGAGAAAAGCUGCUUCCAGUGGUUCCAAGGCAAAGGGGGGGUCUGCCACAUGUAGAAAUAUAUCUUCCAAAACAAAAUCCUCCAGCAUCAUUGGAUCCAGUUCAGCCUCACAUACUUCUCAAGCGACAUCAGGAGCCAAUAGCAAAUUGGGGAUUAUGGCUCCACCGAAGCCUAUAAAUAGACCGUUUCUUAAGCCUUCGUAUGCAUUCUCAUAACAACCGAAUCUCAAUGUACAUAGACCCUCUUUCUUGUUUGUCAGCAUCUGACCAUCUGUGACUAUAAAGCUGUUAUUCUUGU
Molecule: small RNA, 1686 nt
Filed under: Pan troglodytes (chimpanzee)
Lineage: Eukaryota; Metazoa; Chordata; Mammalia; Primates; Hominidae
Description: retained intron
Source: RNAcentral